UUUAUGGCAGCAGUAAUUUAGUGUCUGUCCUAAUCCAGAAUGGGUGAAAUAUCAUGUUUUUGAGACUUUUAUGUGAUGUGUGUUACAACCAAAUCAAUAUACCUAAGGUGAGAUAAUGUUAUCAUCAUUUGUUCUUUUUCAGUUUACAAUCAUGUCUAGUGUCUUAUAUCCUAAAUUUCGUAAGAGUGAAACAGGCGAACUCCUCCUCAGUGAUUCUGUGGAAGGGAGGCUUGCAGCUGCAAAUCGCCCAAAGUGGUCACCAGCGCUUACCACUGUGGUUGUACACAAAGAGGCCAGGGAAAGAGUCGCUGCCAGACAAGGCGAUUUAACUGAUGAAAGAGAUGUACUUGGUGAGUACAUCCUCCAGUGUGGGAAGUAUAGGGGAAAGUGUUUCCGGUGGCUUUUGGAGAAUGUCCCCGGAUAUUGUGGAUGGUUUGUUGGACAGAUCAUCAAGGAUGAAGGGAAACAAGACCUGUCUAGUGUUCAGCAAAGACACAACAAGCGCUACAUGCAAAUGUUUGAGGAGGGGCGCGCCAUUAUUCAAAUGAAAAGCGAAGAAAAAUGCAAGUCAAGCACCUCUCAGUUGAAGGCCCUUGUCACAACAGAGCGACAGCUAUCAACUGGGGCCCUUGUGCAGAAGGCCAAGACACUUUUUGCCCCG
This is a long non-coding RNA of Liolophura sinensis, 661 nucleotides long. RefSeq lists it as uncharacterized. The transcript has 3 exons. The record is from RefSeq and is a predicted model, not a curated record. Lineage: Eukaryota; Metazoa; Mollusca; Polyplacophora; Chitonida; Chitonidae.